UUUCUGAGUAGAAGCGGUCAGGGCCAUGGCUCGGGACAUUGCUCGGGAG
RNAcentral lists this non-coding RNA (49 nucleotides) under unclassified sequences. RNAcentral's name for it is "Xanthine-I sequence". It matches the Rfam family "Xanthine riboswitch aptamer (NMT1 RNA)". Rfam says of the family: Later it was reported as a ncRNA that recognised Xanthine. The record is from Rfam by way of RNAcentral.